Non-coding RNA from Rattus norvegicus (Norway rat), 1635 nucleotides. The record is from RefSeq and is a predicted model, not a curated record. Lineage: Eukaryota; Metazoa; Chordata; Mammalia; Rodentia; Muridae.
UUAGGUUAGGUGGAAUGAUUACAUGGAUUCUGCACAACUAGGUCAAGAAUGUAGAGUUUGCAAAUGAGUAUAUCAAAGAGACUCCCUCCUGUACUUAUGAAGGUAUUGAGUUGAGGUUUCACUGUUCCUCAAGUCUUUCUUCCCCCUGCCCAUGCUCCUGUUUCUUAUAUAUGACAUUAAGGAAGAAUCAUGGCAACACAUCUAAAACCUUCAAGUCUGGCCAUGGGAACACAGGAAGUAGAUAGUGUAGUACAGAUAUCAAAUGUGAAUAGAGAAAAGAAUUGUAUACUCCAUGUGGUCCUUUGCUUUAUUGAUGAUGGUAAUUUUUGAAUAACAUAAGGAUUUGGGAAUUUAUAAUUGAAGUAGGUACACCAUAUUUACACUGUUAUUCUCAGUCUAUAGAUGGGCCCACUUUGUUUCCAAAAUCAUAGCAGAGAAUGGAAUUUGAAAACAGAAUUUUUGAGUACAUAUUCAGGAAUAUUUAUAAUGUCCCCUAUGAAGGAAUGUACAAUAGGAAAGUGAAAUACAAUAUUCAUUCAACGAAAGGUGUGUAGGUAAAGUACUGGCCUUUAUAAAAUUAAGAAAACCUAGAAAAUUGAACUGUAUGUCACAGGAAUUGACCUGGGAAUAAAAAUAUUAUCCAGAAGAAUCUCCUCCACUCCAAGUUCCUAAAUAAUUUCUAUCCAUGCCAGGAACCUGACUCAUUUUCUCCAUUCAGAAGUCACUAGCUUUAGAGAGAUGGAGAACGAAAGUUUCCACUGUGUCACAGGAGACAUACCUAAAUUGGCACCCUCAAAACUGGUUAAUGUAAGGAAAGCUGUUUAGAGUCAGGCCAUGGCAGUUCUCAGUGACAAUAUCAUUAGGCUCUCCCUGAAAAAUCUCUUGUAUCCUUGAGAGCACUAGCUUCUUCUGUGAUGUAAUAAGUGUUGUCCUGACUGCAAAUGCCUCUCAGAUAUUACUUCAGUACCUAUAGGUUUUACUAAUUGGCCUCAAAUUCAGGGGAAACAGUCAUUAGGGAGGGAGAACAAAGACGAUGAAGAAAUCAGAGAUGGGGAGAACGAAGCUGGUCUUCUGUCUUGGUAUAAAAGAAGGAAGAAAUACAUCAUCCCUGAGAAAUCUCACUGAAGCCUUGGUAGGAGUGGAAUAUGAAAAAUAGUCCUGAGGAAGGAGGGACAACAAGUAUUGUAUCGUCAUGUCAUCUCAAGAAAAACUCUCAAAACUCAUCCUGGCUGACAAUGUAGAUUAGACGCAUCAGAUGAAAUGAAUUGAAAAACUCUCCUGGGAAUGAAAGUGGUAAGGAAAUCACAUUGAUGUAUCCUAAAUGCAGUGCUAAGAGCAAUAUUCAGACUAGUCUGUGGAGAUGCUGCUGUCAUCAGAGACCACAGACAAUUAGUGGAGAAUGAUUCAGCAUUAAACUGGGAAUGGAAGAUGAUGGUUGAUAUUGUUCUAGUAGAUCUCACUACAUUAAAAAGUGUUUCUUCCAGAUAACUGAAUGAUUAUUGUAAAGCAAAUCCCGGAAUGAACUUAUGAGACCCACCAUCAGCCUGUCAAAUAAUGUGCGAAAGAAGAAAUCUGUGUCUCUCCAGGGACAAAUUGUUGCUUUCAAACCAACAGUAAAGUGUCCAUUCUAUGAAU